This 380-nucleotide ribosomal RNA is filed under the name Clostridium perfringens. RNAcentral describes it as "bacterial SSU rRNA". It matches the Rfam family "Bacterial small subunit ribosomal RNA", at positions 1 to 377 of the family's 1533-position model. Lineage: Bacteria; Bacillati; Bacillota; Clostridia; Eubacteriales; Clostridiaceae. The record is from RNAcentral.
UUAAAUUGAGAGUUUGAUCCUGGCUCAGGAUGAACGCUGGCGGCGUGCUUAACACAUGCAAGUCGAGCGAUGAAGUUUCCUUCGGGAAACGGAUUAGCGGCGGACGGGUGAGUAACACGUGGGUAACCUGCCUCAUAGAGUGGAAUAGCCUUCCGAAAGGAAGAUUAAUACCGCAUAAUGUUGAAAGAUGGCAUCAUCAUUCAACCAAAGGAGCAAUACGCUAUGAGAUGGACCCGCGGCGCAUUAGCUAGUUGGUGGGGUAACGGCCUACCAAGGCGACGAUGCGUAGCCGACCUGAGAGGGUGAUCGGCCACAUUGGGACUGAGACACGGCCCAGACUCCUACGGGAGGCAGCAGUGGGGAAUAUUGCACAAUGGGGG